Molecule: ribosomal RNA, 442 nt
Filed under: uncultured bacterium
Lineage: Bacteria
Description: bacterial SSU rRNA
Rfam family: Bacterial small subunit ribosomal RNA
Source: RNAcentral
AACGCGAAGAACCUUACCUGGACUUGACAUGCACAUGAUCGCCGUAGAAAUACGGUUUUCUCGCAAGAGACAUGUGCACAGGUGCUGCAUGGCUGUCGUCAGCUCGUGCCGUGAGGUGUUGGGUUAAGUCCCGCAACGAGCGCAACCCUUGUCGUUAGUUGCCAUCAGGUAAUGCUGGGCACUCUAGCGAGACUGCCUAGGUUAACUAGGAGGAAGGUGAGGAUGACGUCAAGUCCGCAUGGCCUUUAUGUCCAGGGCUACACACGUGCUACAAUGGUCGGUACAGAAGGCAGCGAAGCCGCGAGGCGAAGCAAAUCCCCAAAGCCGGCCCCAGUUCAGAUUGGAGUCUGCAACUCGACUCCAUGAAGAUGGAAUUGCUAGUAAUGGCGGGUCAGCAACACCGCCGUGAAUACGUUCCCGGGCCUUGUACACACCGCUCGUC